This 388-nucleotide ribosomal RNA is filed under the name uncultured bacterium. RNAcentral describes it as "bacterial SSU rRNA". It matches the Rfam family "Bacterial small subunit ribosomal RNA", at positions 28 to 417 of the family's 1533-position model. The record is from RNAcentral.
GACGAACGCUGGCGGCGUGCUUAACACAUGCAAGUCGAGCGGUAAGGCCCUUUCGGGGGUACACGAGCGGCGAACGGGUGAGUAACACGUGGGUGACCUGCCCUCAGCUCUGGGAUAAGCCUGGGAAACCGGGUCUAAUACCAGAUAUGACUCCAUGACGCAUGUUGUGGGGUGGAAAGCGUUGUGCGGCUGAGGAUGGGCCCGCGGCCUAUCAGCUUGUUGGUGGGGUGANGGCCUACCAAGGCGACGACGGGUAGCCGGCCUGAGAGGGCGACCGGCCACACUGGGACUGAGACACGGCCCAGACUCCUACGGGAGGCAGCAGUGGGGAAUCUUGCGCAAUGGGCGAAAGCCUGACGCAGCGACGCCGCGUGAGGGAUGACGGCCU